This 465-nucleotide ribosomal RNA is filed under the name uncultured bacterium. Its description in RNAcentral is "partial 16S ribosomal RNA". It matches the Rfam family "Bacterial small subunit ribosomal RNA", at positions 339 to 795 of the family's 1533-position model. The record is from RNAcentral.
CUACGGGUCGCUCCAGUGGGGAAUAUUGGACAAUGGGGGAAACCCCGAUCCAGCAAUGCCGCGUGUGUGAAGAAGGCCUGCGGGUUGUAAAGCACUUUCGGUUGGGAGGACUGCUUCUAGCACUAAUAUUGUUGGAAGUUGACGUUACCUUCAGAAGAAGCACCGACUAACUCCGUGCCAGCAGCCGCGGUAAUACGGAGGGUGCAAACGUUAAUCGGAAUUACUGGGCGUAAAGCGCGCGUAGGCGGCUAGAUCAGUCGGGUGUGAAAGCCCCGGGCUUAACCUGGGAACUGCAUCCGAUACUGUCUAGCUUGAGUACAGGAGAGGAGAGUGGAAUUCCACAUGUAGCGGUGAAAUGCGUAGAUAUGUGGAGGAACACCAAUGGCGAAGGCAGCUCUCUGGCCUGAUACUGACGCUGAGGUGCGAAAGCGUGGGGAGCAAACAGGAUUAGAUACCCCAGUAGUC